AAACUGUUCACGAUCAAAUGAUAGGCUGUUAAUAAGGACGACAGCUUCUAUCGAGCAUAGGUCGCUGUAGGCCAUAUGGGUUGGUUGUCCUCUUAACCAAGAAGUGUGGAGACACUGGUAUGGCAUACAGGUAAGAUGUAAGGGUACAUCGUCAUUGAACGUGAUCAACUCCAGAGCAUUCUGCUGUCGAGAAUGUCUCUGAUGG
Molecule: long non-coding RNA, 205 nt
Filed under: Elaeis guineensis (African oil palm)
Lineage: Eukaryota; Viridiplantae; Streptophyta; Magnoliopsida; Arecales; Arecaceae
Description: long non-coding RNA (EGUI_LNC027435)
Source: RNAcentral